GGAUUGUGGCUCGGUGGUACAGCGCUUGCCUAGCACGUGUGAGGCCCUAGGUUCGAUCCUCAGCACCA
Molecule: transfer RNA, 68 nt
Filed under: Marmota monax (woodchuck)
Lineage: Eukaryota; Metazoa; Chordata; Mammalia; Rodentia; Sciuridae
Description: tRNA.Ala
Source: RNAcentral